GACGAACGCUGGCGGCGUGCUUAACACAUGCAAGUCGAACGGAAAGGCCUGCUUUCCCUUGUGGAUUGCGGGUACUCGAGUGGCGAACGGGUGAGUAACACGUGAGUGAUCUGCCCCCAACUUGGGUAUAAGCCUGGGAAACUGGGUCUAAUUCCCGAUAGGACUGCAGGGUGGUGCCUGUGGUGGAAAACGAUUUUCUAGUGGUUGGGGAUGAGCUCGCGGCCUAUCAGCUUGUUGGUGGGGUAAUGGCCUACCAAGGCGGCGACGGGUAGCCGGCCUGAGAGGGUGGACGGCCACAUUGGGACUGAGAUACGGCUCAGACUCCUACGGGAGGCAGCAGUGGGGAAUAUUGCACAAUGGGCGGAAGCCUGAUGCAGCGACGCCGCGUGGGGGAUGACGGCCUUCGGGUUGUAAACUCCUUUCGACCGCGAGGAAGCCACCUGGUUGGAAGGGUGGUGACGGUAGUGGUAGAAGAAGCACCGGCUAACUACGUG
Molecule: ribosomal RNA, 494 nt
Filed under: uncultured bacterium
Lineage: Bacteria
Description: partial 16S ribosomal RNA
Rfam family: Bacterial small subunit ribosomal RNA
Source: RNAcentral